RNAcentral lists this ribosomal RNA (252 nucleotides) under uncultured bacterium. Its description in RNAcentral is "partial 16S ribosomal RNA". It matches the Rfam family "Bacterial small subunit ribosomal RNA", at positions 57 to 305 of the family's 1533-position model. The record is from RNAcentral.
GCAAGUCGAGGGGUAACAUGUCUGCUUGCAGAUGAUGACGACCGGCGCACGGGUGAGUAACGCGUAUGCAACCUACCUUUUACUGGAAGAUAGCCCCGAGAAAUCGGGAUUAAUACUCCAUAACAUUAUUGAUAUCGCAUGAUAUUAUAAUUAAAGCUUCGGCGGUAAAAGAUGGGCAUGCGUGACAUUAGUUUGUUGGUAAGGUAACGGCUUACCAAGACUUCGAUGUCUAGGGGUUCUGAGAGGAUUGUC